This is a long non-coding RNA of Musa acuminata AAA Group (dessert banana), 2383 nucleotides long. RefSeq lists it as uncharacterized. The record is from RefSeq and is a predicted model, not a curated record. NCBI's taxonomy places the organism in Eukaryota, Viridiplantae, Streptophyta, Magnoliopsida, Zingiberales, Musaceae. The transcript is spliced from 3 exons.
CACAUCGACCCUCUCUGGAGCACUCGAGAGAGCUUCCGUUUAACAUUAAGAGGAGUGGUUCGGGAUCAAGAUGGAUGCUGACGGAACAUCUUGAUCAUUGUACCAAGAAAAAAGAAGGAAUCUUCGGACAUCAGCAGAACUAAUUGUAUUAAUCAACGGAUUUCGACGAAGAUCUUUAACAUUCUACCAAGAAAAAGAAGGAAUCUUUUGACAUCAGGAGGACUGGUUGCAUCCAUCGGUAGAUCCCUGUGUUCUCUUCCCAUGUUAUUAAUGUUAUGGUCUUUGCACCCUUUUGGUUUUUGGUAUUGUUCUUCAUCGUUGUCUAGAUCGCCUUAGGAACUGAUACAAAAAGUUCUGUGCAAAUGAUUCAAUAUUCUGAUUGUGUGUUUAGAUCUUGGCCACAACAUAAUGAUGCUUUAAAACCUUUAUCAUUGUUUACAUCACCUACUUUUUGGUUGACUUUGUUAUUAUUGCCUGUCAUCAUUGUUGCAAUAAUUUGUUUGUUCAUCUACUCUGCUUUCACAGAACAGGAUCCCACUUAAGCUCUGCCUACAACACAGUUGUUUUCUUAGGCUAGAAAUGUUGCUUUCUGGAUCAACGUAAGCAAUUAGUCGACGUACUAAAUGCAACCAUGCCAAUCUCAUUUAGAAAAUUUAAUGUUGUGUUUUAUUCUAGAUUCUGUAAUUAAUGGGAUAUGUAAAGUCUUCUCUUGUGGCCUUGGAACAUUGUCAGGGGACCAUUCUGUGAAUUAUUGCAGGAUCUCAAUCAUUGUUUUAGUAGACCAAAUCAACUAACUAAUAACCACCUUUUAUUUCUGCCUUCACUUUUCUUUUAUAAUCUCUCUUAGAACCUUAAUUGGAACAUAGUUUACUUCUAAUUGCUCCAAUAGAAGUACCUACAAGUUUAGAAGCUAAUGGUUAUUUGUUGUUUCCAUUGCUGGUCAUUGUGUUCUUUUCAACACAAUUUGUUGAUUAUGUAGACAAGGACUUGAGUUAGUGGUUUUUUUCUUCAUUGGCUAGAUUGGAAGUACAAUGCAAAUAGAAACUUGGAGAAGACACUAGAAUGGGAGUUAAUAGAAGCAUUUAUGAAAUUUGAUUUAGACAAAAGGGGAUAAGAAAAGAGGCAAUAGAAGAGAAAAUUACAUCAAAGGAGAUGAAAAGAAUGGAGAAAAGAGAGGAUAGAAGAAGAGAGAACGACAUAAAGUCCCCCACCACAACAGAGAGUAUUUCACUAAAAUCAUCAUUGCUUCUUUGUUAAUAGCUUAUUGACCACCCACAAGCUACUCAUAGACCACUGAGCAACUUUAAAGCAAUAUUCCCUCUCCUUCUAAUAGGACUUUGACGUACCUUUAAUACUUUAAAACCACACUUGUAAUCAACACAAAACACUAGAAACAAUAAAACUUUCUAGAGCUUGUGUAGUCCUAAGUCCUAACACAGUUCAAGCAUUAACAAAAUUUUUACUAUGUGGUCACCAAAUUACAACACUGACUUUGCUUCUAUAAUGUAAAGAUCUUUCUAAGAGAGUUUGAACAGAUCUUUCUAAUGAAUUUAAGAUCAUUGAAAAUAAAGAUCUAUGGUAAAACGUUCUGCCUCCAAUAAGCUUGGUGGUACAUACUUGAUUUCAUGAUAUUUAACCAUUCAUUCUAUAAAAGAUGUUUUUCUUCUGCAUUUCUUCAAUACAAAGGUUAUGAAUACAGGUCAGACAAAGUAUCAGUCUUAAUGUAUAAUUCGAUACUGGAAUAUAUAAAAUUCAUUUUUAAAUCAUUUUAUUCAGCUGGGCAUUGUGGGUUGGUAUACCUCCCAGUGAUGACGUUAUUGUAGUAAUUGGUUGAUGCACUUCAGUUAAGUGGUAAACAAAUUACAAUUUUUUUGCUGCUUUUUGAGUGUUUGUCAAGUCUAGAUUUGACUUUUGCUGCAUCAAUACGAAGCUCAAAUUUGACAACUUGUAAUUGAAGUCUUUUGUGUUUAGCAAAUUUUGAGCACCUCAGUGAAUACCUGCCUAUUGCUGUCUCCAGUAGGAUCAUGGCACAAUCUUUAAACCAUCACUAGAAUUGGAUAAAACUUCUCUCAUGUAUUGUCAAGUGGUAAUGCAUAAUUUAUUGAACUUAAUGAAGAAAGGAAGCUUCUGCCCAUCUGAAAGGGUAUGUGACAUUAAGAGUUCCACAUUAUGUACCUUGCCAGGUACAUCCUAAGUUCUGUUUAGUUGGAUAAAUCUGGUGAAAUUCCAAACAAGGGGAGAAAACCAUGACGGAGUGCAGUGGACCACAUUUUGUCAAUAUCCUGAGUUUUAUCUCCACAUUCAUGUGAAUCCCACCCUUCUAGCGCAUGCACUAUACCAGCAACACGAGAUGCACUCAUGACCCUUCUCGGUAGCCAAUUCU